Molecule: ribosomal RNA, 394 nt
Filed under: uncultured Polaribacter sp.
Lineage: Bacteria; Pseudomonadati; Bacteroidota; Flavobacteriia; Flavobacteriales; Flavobacteriaceae
Description: bacterial SSU rRNA
Rfam family: Bacterial small subunit ribosomal RNA
Source: RNAcentral
CGGGUGCGUAACGCGUAUAGAACCUACCUUUUACAGAGGAAUAGCCUUUAGAAAUGAAGAUUAAUGCCUCAUGGUAUUGUAGACUGGCAUCAGUUUAUAAUUAAAGAUUUAUCGGUAAAAGAUGGCUAUGCGUCCUAUUAGUUAGUUGGUAAGGUAACGGCUUACCAAGACAGCGAUAGGUAGGGGUCCUGAGAGGGAGAUCCCCCACACUGGUACUGAGACACGGACCAGACUCCUACGGGAGGCAGCAGUGAGGAAUAUUGGACAAUGGAGGAGACUCUGAUCCAGCCAUGCCGCGUGUAGGAAGAAUGCCCUAUGGGUUGUAAACUACUUUUAUACAGGAAGAAACACUGGUAUGUAUACCAGCUUGACGGUACUGUAAGAAUAAGGACCG